UGCGUAGGCGGUGAGGUAAGUCUGGCGUGAAAUCUCCAAGCUCAACUUGGAAACUGCGCUGGAUACUAUCUUGCUCGAGGAAUGGAGGGGAGACUGGAAUACUUGGUGUAGCAGUGAAAUGCGUAGAUAUCAAGUGGAACACCAGUGGCGAAGGCGAGUCUCUGGACAUUUCCUGACGCUGAGGCACGAAAGCCAGGGGAGCAAACGGGAUUAGAUACCCCGGUAGUCCUGGCCCUAAACGGUGCGCGUUUGCUGUGAGCGGAAUCGACCCCGCUCGUGGCGGAGUUAACACGUUAAACGCGCCGCCUGGGAAGUACGGCCGCAAGGUUAA
This 331-nucleotide ribosomal RNA is filed under the name uncultured bacterium. Its description in RNAcentral is "bacterial SSU rRNA". It matches the Rfam family "Bacterial small subunit ribosomal RNA", at positions 568 to 897 of the family's 1533-position model. The record is from RNAcentral.